This 301-nucleotide ribosomal RNA is filed under the name uncultured bacterium. RNAcentral describes it as "partial 16S ribosomal RNA". It matches the Rfam family "Bacterial small subunit ribosomal RNA", at positions 509 to 809 of the family's 1533-position model. The record is from RNAcentral.
CAGUAGCCGCGGUAAUACGAAGGGGGCUAGCGUUGUUCGGAAUUACUGGGCGUAAAGCGCACGUAGGCGGAUAUUUAAGUCAGGGGUGAAAUCCCGCAGCUCAACUGCGGAACUGCCUUUGAUACUGGGUAUCUUGAGUAUGGAAGAGGUUAGUGGAAUUGCGAGUGUAGAGGUGAAAUUCGUAGAUAUUCGCAGGAACACCAGUGGCGAAGGCGGCUAACUGGUCCAUAACUGACGCUGAGGUGCGAAAGCGUGGGGAGCAAACAGGAUUAGAUACCCCAGUAGUCCCUGUCUCUUAUAA